Molecule: ribosomal RNA, 563 nt
Filed under: uncultured Bifidobacterium sp.
Lineage: Bacteria; Bacillati; Actinomycetota; Actinomycetes; Bifidobacteriales; Bifidobacteriaceae
Description: bacterial SSU rRNA
Rfam family: Bacterial small subunit ribosomal RNA
Source: RNAcentral
UCUCCUGGAAACGGGUGGUAAUGCCGGAUGUUCCACAUGAGCGCAUGCGAGUGUGGGAAAGGCUUUUUGCGGCAUGGGAUGGGGUCGCGUCCUAUCAGCUUGUUGGUAGGGUAACGGCCUACCAAGGCGUUGACGGGUAGCCGGCCUGAGAGGGCGACCGGCCACAUUGGGACUGAGAUACGGCCCAGACUCCUACGGGAGGCAGCAGUGGGGAAUAUUGCACAAUGGGCGCAAGCCUGAUGCAGCGACGCCGCGUGCGGGAUGGAGGCCUUCGGGUUGUAAACCGCUUUUGUUCAAGGGCAAGGCACGGUUUCGGCCGUGUUGAGUGGAUUGUUCGAAUAAGCACCGGCUAACUACGUGCCAGCAGCCGCGGUAAUACGUAGGGUGCAAGCGUUAUCCGGAUUUAUUGGGCGUAAAGGGCUCGUAGCGGUUCGUCGCGUCCGGUGUGAAAGUCCAUCGCUUAACGGUGGAUCCGCGCCGGGUACGGGCGGGCUUGAGUGCGGUAGGGGAGACUGGAAUUCCCGGUGUAACGGUGGAAUGUGUAGAUAUCGGGAAGGACACCA